AACGAACGCUGGCGGCAUGCCUAACACAUGCAAGUCGAACGAGACCUUAGGGUCUAGUUGCGCACGCGUGCGUCACGCGUGGGACCCUGGCCUUAGGUUUGGGUUUACUCUCCGUCGGGGGUGCUAAUACAGGGUAAUGUACUCUGAUAAAAGAUUUGUCGUCUUUGGAUGGGCAGGCGUUGUUUUAGCCAGUUGGUAGGGGAAGAGCCUACCAAGGCGACGAUCCAUAGCUGGUCUGAGAGGAUGAUCAGCCACACUGAGACUGCGACGCGGCCCAGACUCCUACGGGAGGCAGCAGUGCGGAAUAUUGCACUAUCGGCGAAAGCAAGAUGCAGCAAUGCCGCGAAAGUGAUUAAGUCCUUAGAGAUAUAAAGCUCUUUUACCCGCCACGAUAAUGACAGUACCGAGAGAAUAAGCACCGGCUAACUUCGUG
RNAcentral lists this ribosomal RNA (433 nucleotides) under uncultured bacterium. RNAcentral describes it as "partial 16S ribosomal RNA". It matches the Rfam family "Bacterial small subunit ribosomal RNA", at positions 29 to 507 of the family's 1533-position model. The record is from RNAcentral.